GGGGCUGUAGCUCAGUUGGGAGAGCGCCUGCUUUGCAAGCAGGGGGUCGUCGGUUCGAUUCCGUCCAGCUCCACCA
RNAcentral lists this transfer RNA (76 nucleotides) under Nitrospira sp. RNAcentral's name for it is "tRNA-Ala". It matches the Rfam family "tRNA". Rfam says of the family: Transfer RNA (tRNA) molecules are approximately 80 nucleotides in length. Their secondary structure includes four short double-helical elements and three loops (D, anti-codon, and T loops). The record is from RNAcentral. Lineage: Bacteria; Pseudomonadati; Nitrospirota; Nitrospiria; Nitrospirales; Nitrospiraceae.